RNAcentral lists this ribosomal RNA (483 nucleotides) under uncultured bacterium. RNAcentral describes it as "partial 16S ribosomal RNA". It matches the Rfam family "Bacterial small subunit ribosomal RNA", at positions 28 to 507 of the family's 1533-position model. The record is from RNAcentral.
GACGAACGCUGGCGGCGUGCUUAACACAUGCAAGUCGAACGCUGAAGCUCAGCUUUUGUUGGGUGGAUGAGUGGCGAACGGGUGAGUAACACGUGAGUAACCUGCCUCCUUCUUUGGGAUAACGCCCGGAAACGGGUGCUAAUACUGGAUAUUCACUGGUCUUCGCAUGGGGGUUGGUGGAAAGGGUUUUUCUGGUGGGGGAUGGGCUCGCGGCCUAUCAGCUUGUUGGUGGGGUGAUGGCCUACCAAGGCUUUGACGGGUAGCCGGCCUGAGCGGGUGACCGGUCACAUUGGGACUGAGAUACGGCCCAGACUCCUACGGGAGGCAGCAGUGGGGAAUAUUGCACAAUGGGCGCAAGCCUGAUGCAGCGACGCCGCGUGAGGGAUGGAGGCCUUCGGGUUGUGAACCUCUUUCGCUCAUGGUCAAGCCGCAACAAUGGUUGUGGUGAGGGUAGUGGGUAAAGAAGCGCCGGCUAACUACGUG